RNAcentral lists this non-coding RNA (20 nucleotides) under Arabidopsis thaliana (thale cress). Lineage: Eukaryota; Viridiplantae; Streptophyta; Magnoliopsida; Brassicales; Brassicaceae. The record is from RNAcentral.
UUCAGGAAUCAGGUGGAUCA